GAGAGGUGGAGAAUAUAGAGUGAUCAACAAAUUGAUUAUAAAAUAUGCGAAAGGAACAUUUACAAGCAGAAGAAACUUGACUUUCCCAGCACUGAUCAGAAGAACAUUUCAUUGCUUCGAGAUACAGAAGAGAAAAAAGCUGCAGAGGUAAUUAGUUGUUCACUGUUGGCGAAGACCAGAAAUAUGGCUGAGGCUGUUGUUUCAAUUGUCGCUGAAGGCCUAAAGCCGCUUGGAGAUUUCAUCGUUCAGGAAGCCAACUUUUUAAGCGGAGUCGGAGAGCAAGUUGAGCUUGCACGAACCGAGCUACGACUGAUGCUGGGCUACCUGAAGGAUGCAGAUGCCAAACAAGGAGAAGACGAAGUGGUACGCGUUUGGGUUGCAACUGUUAGAGAUGCUGCUUAUGAUUUGGAGGAUGUGAUUGAGACUUUUGUCUUGAAAGUGACUUCCAAGAGGAAAGGAAGCAUGACAAUAGUCCUGAAAAGGUGUGCUUGUAUCUUGAGAGAAGGAUUUUAUCUUCAUAAGACUGGGUCUGAAAUCGAGAAGAUUGCAACCAAACUUUCUAAGUUGAGGUCCAGAAUGGAAUGUUAUGAUAUCAAGGCAAUCGGGUCAGGGAGUGAAUGUAGUUCUUCAUCUGUUGAGAGGCAACAUGAUCAGAGGCUAACCUAUGCUCAUUUCAGUGAACGCCAUGUUGUUGGGAUAGAAGGCGAUGUACAGAUAUUGGCUACACAUUUGUUGAAAGAAGAAGAAGAUCAAUUUCACCGAGUAGUUUCCAUUUGGGGGAUGGGCGGUUCAGGAAAGACGACCCUUGCAAGACAAGUUUAUCAUCACAAUAAAGUUAGGCGUCAUUUUGAUUCUUUUGCUUGGGUGUGUGUGUCUCAACAAUAUGAAGGAAGAGCUGUUUUGGAAGAAGUUUUAAUUAAGCUAACUGCUGCUACCAAAGAGCAAAGAGAAGAAAUUGAAAGAAAGAAGAGGGAUGAAAUAGCAGAACUCCUCUAUACUCUCCUCGAAAAUAUGUGUUGUUUGGUGGUCCUUGACGAUGUUUGGAACACUGGUACCUGGAACUCUAUAAAAGCUGGAUUUCCAGUAAACAAGAGAACGAAGAGCUGCAUAUUGCUCACGACACGCAACAAAGAAGUAGCAUUGCAUGUAGAUGAAAAUGGUUUUCUUCAUGAAUCUCGGCCACUAAAUGCUAAUGAAAGCUGGAAAUUGUUCGAGAAUAUAGCUAUCUUUGGAAGGGAUGAUACAGUGGCCGAAAUUUAUGCUAAGAAGGAAGAACUAGGAAAGAAGAUGCUUCAAAAUUGUGGAGGUUUGCCAUUAGCUGUCAUUGUGCUUGCAGAACUUCUAGCUAGAAAAAGAACAAUUGAUGAGUGGUAUAAAGUGUAUAAGAAUGUUGAUGUAUAUAUAAGGAGAGGCACAGACCUUGAACCAGAAUACAAAAAUGAAGGCUAUAAAGGUGCAUCAUGGGUGCUGGCAUUGAGUUAUGAUCACCUACCAUAUCGCCUAAAGUUAUGCUUUCUAUAUUUAGGCCAUUUUCCCGAGGAUUAUGAGAUACCUGUGAAAAGAUUAACUCAAUUAUGGAUGGCAGAAGGUCUUAUAUCUUCAACAUCAACAGACAUGAUUGAAGAUGUAGCAUAUGGUUGCUUAAAUGAGUUGGUAGAAAGGUGUAUGGUUCAAGUUGGAAAAUAUGGUUCAACUAAGAAGAUCAAAACAUGUCGUCUCCAUGAUCUCAUGCGAGACUUAUGCUUGUCAAAGGGAAAAGAGGAUAACUUUUUUGAUAUUGUCAAUUUUGCUUCCACGGCUAACAAGGCAGCACCUAUCGGUAAAGUUCGAAGACGUGCAAUCUAUUUGGACGAAAAGGUUGAUUGUUUAGCCCCCACAAGACAUGAAAGAGAUGGCCAACUCAGGUCUCUGUUAUACUUUGGCAGCUUCAUAUGGAAAAAAAAAAUGAUAGACAAAAUGUUCAAUGACUUCAAAUUGCUUAGAGUUUUGAAGUUUGAAGAGAUGCGUUUUGAAGUAAAGUUGCCCAGUAAUAUUGGGGAUCUUGUCCACUUAAGGUUUUUAAGUCUGAAGAAUAGUGAAAUGAAUCAAUUGCCAUCAUCUGUAGCUAGUUUGGUGUGUUUGCAAACUCUAGAUGUACGAUGUAAAGAUAAGGUGGUGGUGAAAAUACCUAAUGUGUUUUCAAAGAUGGAACAAUUGAGACAUUUAUACAUGCCCUAUAAACACAGCGUAAGUGAGAAGCUGUCAUUGGCUAGUCUUGGCAGUUUGCAGACGUUAGUUCAUAUUUCGAACCAAGACUGUGAUUUCAAAGAACUUGUUCAAUUAAAGAAUCUUAGAAAGCUGUCAGUACAUGUAAGGUCAAGGAAUUCUGAAAUUUUGGAGGAAAUCUCGGAAGCGGCAAUCUUCACAAUUAACCGUGUUCAGUCUCUCUGUGUGGUGUCUACUUCAACGGAUAUAUUAAAAAGUAUAGUAUAUAGAUGUCGUCAUGUAUCCAAGCUGAAAGUAAUGGGGCCAAUUGGAAAUUUACCUGAAGAUCUCCCAACCUAUCCAAACCUCACCAAGCUAACGUUGUGCGGUACAUGUCUCGAGGACACCCAGAUAGAAAUACUAGAGAAGCUGCCAAAAUUACAAACCCUUUGCCUUGGAGAUGGAGCUUUUGGGGCUGGUUGUGAAUUGGUUUGCUCGAGUAAGGGCUUUCCUUCUCUUGAAGUUCUUUACCUUAAUGGUUUGUCCGAAUUAUCCUAUUGGUGGGUGUCCGAAGAAGCCUUGCCUAGCCUGUGCAGAUUGUACAUUGAAAAUUGGAUUACGUUGGUGGGAGUUCCAGAUGGGCUGCAAUAUGUUUCUACCCUUAAGGAAAUAACCAUAAAGUCGAUGCCUGAUACAUUCUGUAGUCGCCUUCAGGAAGGAGGAGAGGAUUUCUACAAGAUCAAACACGUCCCUUCUGUUUUAUUUGAGAGUAUUGUUGCUGAGCAGUGGGGCGAAGCUGUGAGGAAACGUAUGCUGCUUGCCGAGAAGAGAAGGGUUGCACUGUAUGUACAGAAGGCUGCCCUACAAUUCAUUGAUGCUGGCGGGCAUACCUGAAAACUGUGUCGAUAAUGAGGUCAAUGGAACAGUGAAGGCACGGUUUUGGGGAGAAAAAUCGCACCAUGUAUUGGUUUCUUCUCCAGAUGUGUAUGCUGAGAAUCGACCAGCUAAACACUAUGUGAGUAAUGUUGGUUCGAUCCCCAUAAUCUAUGAUGGUUUGAAUCAAAAUCACAUCUCAACUGGCACUGGCACUUCCCCAGUAGUUGAACCAAUACUCACAUUAGAGGAUGCCUGAGUUGGUCUUUUAUUUUGGCAUGCACAAUAAAAUGGUGUGAACCAAUACUACGACUAUAAAUAUCACAGCAUGUUGUAUUCUAUUUCUCGUGUUUGUAAUUUGCAGCUUCACCGUCUUGAUGUAUUAAUGCUAUUCAUAGUCUAAAAUAUCGAUAAUAUCGAUAAUAUCGAUGAAAUAUUGAGGAUAUUAUUGUUUUUCCGAAUCACCGAUAUUUCUGAAC
This is a non-coding RNA of Prunus mume (Japanese apricot), 3536 nucleotides long. The record is from RefSeq and is a predicted model, not a curated record. NCBI's taxonomy places the organism in Eukaryota, Viridiplantae, Streptophyta, Magnoliopsida, Rosales, Rosaceae.